This 72-nucleotide transfer RNA is filed under the name Camelus bactrianus (Bactrian camel). It matches the Rfam family "tRNA". From Rfam's summary of the family: Transfer RNA (tRNA) molecules are approximately 80 nucleotides in length. Their secondary structure includes four short double-helical elements and three loops (D, anti-codon, and T loops). The record is from Rfam by way of RNAcentral. RNAcentral also lists the same sequence under 2 other names. Lineage: Eukaryota; Metazoa; Chordata; Mammalia; Artiodactyla; Camelidae.
GAGGGUAUAGCUCAGCAGUAGAGCAUGUGCUUAGCAUGCAUGAGGUCCUGGGUUCAAUCCCCAGUACUGCUA